UAUUGUUAUCUGAUAGACAAUUUUCCAAUCUUUCAUAAUCAACAAUUCGUGGGUUGCUAUCUCGUUUAGUUUAAGAGAUAUUAAUUAUCAAAAAUCGUCGAAAAAAAGUAUCAAGCACCCCCCCUUGGCAAUUUUUUUCUUAAGACUUAAAAUUGUGUCUCUCAUAUUUCCCUUUUAACUAUCCUAUCUGAUAGAAAAUAGUCCGUAGAUUAAGACGCUGCGAUCAGAUCUUAUUUAUCUCUUUUAGUUUACGAGAUAUUCGCGAUUGAAUAAAAUGGGCAAAAAUUGAUAAAUGUCACUUUUUAGCACUUUUAGUCGCAAAUUGCAAAUAAAAAAGAAAACGUAAGUUAAAACAAAAAACUUUCAUAUUUUUUCAUAUUUUAUAUUUUUCCGUGUGUCGUAGAGCCGCAUGCAGCACAUUCGAGUUUAGUAUAUAUCGCAGCUAUUGUGUCUAUUGCAAUUCGCGCACAAGGUCGCGUCCCAUUGACGCGCCGCCGGCUUUGCGCAUCUAUUGCUUCCUUGUCAUAUACUGUCGCGUUGUUGCAUGCACAGUUUGCAGCCAGUUUCGUGCCGGUAUCUGGGUUGUGCAAUAUUUUUUGAGACUCGUAUUGUUUGUCCGGAUAUCUACUUUCCAAAUUCGCAGUAUAUCCGAUCCAUCAACCUGACAUUGUAAGAGAACUAUUCUUUCAUAAGGUUGGGUUUUACACCUGAACAUGACAUCGCAGGAGAACCAUUCUUUCAUCAGAUUGUAGGGAUUUUACGCCUGGACCGGACAUCGUAGGAGAACCAUUCUUUCAUCAGAUUGGGUUUUACACCUGAGCCCGACUUCGUUAGAGCACCAUUGUUGAAUCAGAUUGGGUUUUACACCUGAGCCCGACUUCGUAAGAGCACCAUUAUUGAUUCCGAUUCGUGCGUAUCUCAACAGCGAUAGUGACCUCGUGUAGUUGCUGUCGGCUGUGCAACUCAAGGCAUACGCAGUUCCAUUUUGGUUGUCGAGUGAAUCGCGCGUUUUCAUUGCGACUACUUUUUGUUCUUCCAAUCAUAAUUAGGUAAAUUGCGGAAUGUUCAAUUAACAAUUGACGAAAUUUACUUAAAUCGAAUGUGAAUGUUGUUUUUGCUAUUAAGAUAGCAUGCGAUGAAUGUUCAUCAAUCGCGGAGUUAUCGGUGGUUCACCUAUGCGCGUGUGAUGUUCCGUCGGCCGUUGGUGAUUGUUUUUCGCUUGUGGAAUUACAUUGCACUCGUGUUAAGCCAUGUGUAAAUAACCUGCGUGUCCACACAAACUUAAUAAUAACUUGGAUUUAUGUUUAAUUAAUAUAAAUAAACAAUGUUGAUGCCUGUUGAAGAAGUUUAGGAGCACUUGUGCCAAAGAGUCUACCGCUUCUCUCGCAGAAAUGUUAGAGAUGCGCGUAUUACAAGGCAAGUUUUACUUUCAGGAGAUUUAAGAGCUGUCUAUGAUUUUCGAUUUUAAAAAAUGUAUGUAGUUUUUAAUGUUGUUAAUAAAACAUAAUGUAAUAUUA
This is a long non-coding RNA of Dalotia coriaria, 1517 nucleotides long. RefSeq lists it as uncharacterized. The transcript has 6 exons. Lineage: Eukaryota; Metazoa; Arthropoda; Insecta; Coleoptera; Staphylinidae. The record is from RefSeq and is a predicted model, not a curated record.